This is a small nucleolar RNA of Rhinolophus ferrumequinum (greater horseshoe bat), 132 nucleotides long. NCBI's taxonomy places the organism in Eukaryota, Metazoa, Chordata, Mammalia, Chiroptera, Rhinolophidae. The record is from Ensembl.
GUUGAGGUCUAUCCCGAUGGGGCUUUGUCUGUAGACCUACAUCGUUGGAAACGCCUCAUAGAGUAAAUAACAUGCUUUCUUUUACUCACAGAACUAUGUGUUAGAUCUGUGGGAAGGAAUGGCAAGACAGCU